Molecule: unclassified non-coding RNA, 327 nt
Filed under: soil metagenome
Description: partial contains 5.8S ribosomal RNA, internal transcribed spacer 2, and large subunit ribosomal RNA
Rfam family: 5.8S ribosomal RNA (bases 1-120)
Source: RNAcentral
GAUGAAGAACGUAGCGAAAUGCGAUAAGUAGUGUGAAUUGCAGAAUUCAGUGAAUCAUCGAAUCUUUGAACGCACAUUGCGCCCCUUGGUAUUCCGGGGGGCAUGCCUGUUCGAGCGUCAUUAUAACCCCUCAAGCUCAGCUUGGUGUUGGGGCCUGCCAACUGGCAGCCCUUAAAAUCAGUGGCGGCGCCAUCUGGCUCUAAGCGUAGUAAUUUCUCUCGCUAUAGGGUCCCGGUGGAUGCUGGCCAGCAACCCCCAAUUUUCUAUGGUUGACCUCGGAUCAGGUAGGGAUACCCGCUGAACUUAAGCAUAUCAAUAAGCGGAGGA